UCUAUAGCAGCUCAAUCGUAAUAAAGAACAAUUCGAAUGUUCAUCGAAGUAUUAUGGUAUAGCAGAGAAUAUAUCAUGUGUUUUGAAAACCACUUUAUUUUCAUACUGGGCAUACGACCAUACAGAACCAAGGAAAACAACUACAAAACAAUGUCUCCGGAUAUUAAUAGCAAUGGCCUCUUGUGGUGAAACUAUUGAUUUCAAUGGAGAGAAUUUUGCCUGUAGAUCUGACCCAAUUAAGCAUUUAUGAAGACACAACGUAAUGGAGAUCCAGAGACACUGAGAAGGUCAGAGCAAAUCUGAGAAGAGUCUCAUGAAGCCCAUUGUCCUGAAUGCCCCAAUUCUACCUGUCAAGGGUGCCUGGAAAGAGACACUGAAGAGAAUAGCAAUAAAUAUGAAAACCCUACAGAAGAGAGAACAACUUCAUUGCUAAGAUCUACAUUAUUCUAAUUUUGAUCUAACUACCACAACCUAGAGGGGGGAAAGGCAAUUAAUCUACACAAGAACUCCUCUGAAGGAACUAGAUGAUGUCAAUCCUUUGAGAGGACCGGUGGUGGUUAUUUUUCUUCCCUUUGAUGUCAGCUUGCCUGGGCACCAUGGUGGGGACCCACAGUGCUAUUUACUCUUACUUCACAGGGCAGUCCAACCUGAGUCAUAUGACUGCUGUGUCAGUGAGGUACCCCCAUACGUGGAUAUUUCUUCCCCAUUUAUCUCCUUACUCUUUCCUAUCUACUCUCUCCACACUUCCUGUCAAUUGUGGUCACUGACUCCUUAUUCUCUUCAUUCUGAAAUAAUGUAUGA
Molecule: long non-coding RNA, 801 nt
Organism: Panthera uncia (snow leopard)
Lineage: Eukaryota; Metazoa; Chordata; Mammalia; Carnivora; Felidae
Exons: 5
Source: RefSeq, a predicted model, not a curated record